RNAcentral lists this ribosomal RNA (1366 nucleotides) under uncultured bacterium. Its description in RNAcentral is "bacterial SSU rRNA". It matches the Rfam family "Bacterial small subunit ribosomal RNA". The record is from RNAcentral.
GAGUUUGAUCCUGGCUCAGGACGAACGCUGGCGGCGCGCCUAACACAUGCAAGUCGAACGAGCGAGAGAGAGCUUGCUUUCUCGAGCGAGUGGCGAACGGGUGAGUAACGCGUGAGGAACCUGCCUCAAAGAGGGGGACAACAGUUGGAAACGACUGCUAAUACCGCAUAAGCCCACAGCUCGGCAUCGAGCAGAGGGAAAAGGAGCAAUCCGCUUUGAGAUGGCCUCGCGUCCGAUUAGCUAGUUGGUGAGGUAAUGGCCACCAAGGCGACGAUCGGUAGCCGGACUGAGAGGUUGAACGGCCACAUUGGGACUGAGACACGGCCCAGACUCCUACGGGAGGCAGCAGUGGGGAAUAUUGCACAAUGGGGGAAACCCUGAUGCAGCGACGCCGCGUGGAGGAAGAAGGUCUUCGGAUUGUAAACUCCUGUUGUUGAGGAAGAUAAUGACGGUGCUCAACAAGGAAGUGACGGCUAACUACGUGCCAGCAGCCGCGGUAAAACGUAGGUCACAAGCGUUGUCCGGAAUUACUGGGUGUAAAGGGAGCGCAGGCGGGAAGACAAGUUGGAAGUGAAAUCUAUGGGCUCAACCCAUAAACUGCUUUCAAAACUGUUUUUCUUGAGUAGUGCAGAGGUAGGCGGAAUUCCCGGUGUAGCGGUGGAAUGCGUAGAUAUCGGGAGGAACACAGUGGCGAAGGCGGCCUACUGGGCACCAACUGACGCUGAGGCUCGAAAGUGUGGGUAGCAAACAGGAUUAGAUACCCUGGUAGUCCACACCGUAAACGAUGAUUACUAGGUGUUGGAGGAUUGACCCCUUCAGUGCCGCAGUUAACACAAUAAGUAAUCCACCUGGGGAGUACGACCGCAAGGUUGAUACUCAAAGGAAUUGACGGGGGCCCGCACAAGCAGUGGAGUAUGUGGUUUAAUUUGACGCAACGCGAAGAACCUUACCAAGUCUUGACAUCCCUUGACGAUGCUGGAAACAGUAUUUCUCUUCGGAGCAAGGAGACAGGUGGUGCAUGGUUGUCGUCAGCUCGUGUCGUGAGAUGUUGGGUUAAGUCCCGCAACGAGCGCAACCCUUACUGUCAGUUACUACGCAAGAGGACUCUGGCAGGACUGCCGUUGACAAAACGGAGGAAGGUGGGGAUGACGUCAAAUCAUCAUGCCCUUUAUGACUUGGGCUACACACGUACUACAAUGGCGUUAAACAAAGAGAAGCAAGACCGCGAGGUGGAGCAAAACUCAGAAACAACGUCCCAGUUCGGACUGCAGGCUGCAACUCGCCUGCACGAAGUCGGAAUUGCUAGUAAUCGUGGAUCAGCAUGCCACGGUGAAUGCGUUCCCGGGCCUUGUACACACCGCCCGUC